This 10529-nucleotide long non-coding RNA is filed under the name Panax ginseng (ginseng). RNAcentral's name for it is "long non-coding RNA (PGIN_LNC015464)". The record is from RNAcentral. Lineage: Eukaryota; Viridiplantae; Streptophyta; Magnoliopsida; Apiales; Araliaceae.
UUAAAUACAAAUACAUGCCUACCAUGAGAGCUUGGUAGAGACUAGAAAGAGAGUCUCCCCUCUCCUCCCAUAUCUUUGAACUUUCUGCACACCCUUUUUAUUCUUCAAUCUUUUUUAGGGCUAUAUAUAUAUAAUAUAAUCUAUUUUACUAUGGGUAUGUAAUGACAGUAUAAAAGAAGAAUCUUUACCAUAUCUGCAGGCUAAUUGAAGAAAUAAAUUAUUAGAAUAAAAAAACAAACAGGAAACCCUUCUUCUUCUUAGUACUAUUAUUAUGGACUCAGAUUCUUGGGCUCGUCUUUCUACUUCAUCCAGGCGAUAUCAAUUUCGAUCGGGUUAGUUUCGAUAUAAUUUUUGGAAAGAAUGAUUGGAAGUUUAUGAUUUCUUAGGAAUUUAGGGUUUUGGUGUUGGAUGUAGUGAAAUCGGUUUCGGAAUGAAUUGGGUUUUAAAAAAUCUAUUGUUUUGAUUGGAACCAAAUGGAAAUUUAGAGUUUUGCUUUGUGUAUUUGCAGAUCCUUUUAAUGGAGGGGAGGAAAUGGAACGCGAUGAAGAGUCGAGGCCGGAGUUUCUGUGUCCGUUUUGCGCAGAGGAUUUUGAUAUGGUGGGACUUUGUUGUCAUAUUGAUGAGGAGCAUAUGGUGGAAGCCAAGAAUGGGGUAUUUUUUUAUAUUUCAUUUCUGGGUGUAAUUUGGACCUAAUUUUUUUGGUUUAUGGUUUUUUAAGUAGGUAUGUUUAUUCAGUUCUAAGUUGCAGCAUGUGAGCUUUCUUUUGAUCCUAAAUGUGGUAAAAUUUAACUUUAUGUGAUUUAGGCUCUGGUAGAGUCUAAAGAGAGGGGUAGAGAGUGGGAGGCUUGGUUUAAAGUUGAAACUAAUAUCAGUUCUAUUUAUUUGGCUUUUCAAGAAGCAAACUUUUAUCUGCUAUUGCCUAUUAGUAUAUUACAUAAACAGCAGAGUGUGUAUUGUCAUUUUAAUUUAAAUUGUACCAUGUUAUAUUUGUUUGCGAACUUCCUUGCCAUCUCAUUCAAGAUACGAACAAAUGUUGGAAACCUACUUCAAACUUUCAAAGAUUAAAAACUGGGAAAACAGUUCUUUUGCGGUGAUAUGAUUAAGAAAAUGUAGUUAUAGUUGCUUGCAUACACUUUAUAAUGCAAAUCUAUUGCUGCGUUGUGUGUACAAGUAUAAACAUCUAUCUUCAACCAUUACUCAUGUCUUAGUUUAAAGACAUUUUUAGAGCUUUGAGAACAUAUGGGGAACCUUGUCGUAUUUUCUAUGAGGGGCUAGGUUCAGAUCUCAAAUAUGCUGCCUUCUGAUUCAAAUUUGUGACCUCAUGGUUUAUGCCCUGUUCUUUUACGGCUGCACUACACAAUGAGAAUAAUCUUGUGUUACAAAGAAGGAUAUGAAAGAGCAAAUUUAGAAGUUUGGUGUUGAAUUUUGGUACUCUCCGUUUCUUAGGAUAAGUCGUUUUAGAGAAAUGUUUAUCUUAAUACAAGUCGUUUGAAAAUUUCAAGUAAGCAUUAAUUGUUUAGUUUUCAAUAUUACCCCAAGUAUUAAAUAUAACUUUGGUUCAUUAUUCUUUGUCCAAUACAUAACACUCUCUUUUUCAAGUACAAGGGCAAUAUAGGCAAUUGAUAUUAAAUUUAAUAUUUUACAAUCAUUUCUUUAAUAUUUGUGUUCAAUUCUAAAACGACUUGUAUUAAGGAAAGGAGGGAGUACUAGCUUGUACUUGUCCAGAAAGGGAGGAGAAGUGAUGGUGUCACAUUUGUUUUGUUGGUUGCAUGUGCAUGUGUUUGCUGCAAGAGAUACACAGAGGGAGAGAGAUAAGAGGAAGGGAAUUGUACGCGUCACUUUUUUUUUUGUGGUGAAUGAAUUGGUAUAUUAAGGUGAUGUGUCAUGGAGUGAGGGAGCUUAUUAUAUAUUGAAGACUAAUUAGGUUUUUUGAAUUGUUUUAUUAGAGGAACGUAGUCUAUGAAUAAUCAAACAGUGAAAAAAAGAUGCCGCUAAGCUAUAUGAAUGCGCUAAAAGAGCUAUGUUUUGACACUCAUUUUCUAGGUAUCAACAUUCUACUAUGACAGCGGCUCUCCUGAGUCCUGAACACAAAAAGAUCUUCUCAAAGGUCUUAUUUGGAGUUCUUAAUAAUUGCUUUUAAGCAGUUGCUUUAGGGACAAAUUCUAUUAGACUAAAAUAUUAAGCAUCUGGUUUUAAUUGACUCGGCAUCUGUGAAGAAUUAUGAAUGAUUUCUAUUUGCAUGAGUUGUUCUUUAGCACUAAUGGUAUAUCAAUUUUUUUUAUAAUGCAGGUGUGUCCAGUUUGUGCAAAAAAGGUGGGAAUAGAUUUGGUUGGCCACAUCACUAUGCAAUAUGGGAAUCUGUUAAAAAUAUCCUUUUCCUAAUGUUUUUUGUUUCAAUAUUCAAGUGUUGAGGUGUAAUUUGACCCAUAAUGCUGCAUUAACUUUAAUAUCUUGUCUCUGUAUGCCAAAUUAGAUAAAUUAGCAUAUUUUUGGACUUACUUCCAUAGGUCAGUACAUGAACAAAGCUCUUAUAUUUUGUAUUUUUGUUGUGACUUCUGAUCACAGAACUUGUCCAGUUAUUUUUUAUUUUUUUGAUUGGAAUUUGUCUAUCUAAAUCAUAGCAAGACUUCUAUAGGCUUCUGUAAGUAUGCUAGUUUCUUCUUUCAAGGGAAUAAUUUGAGUGUCUUUUUAUCCAUUCCGACUAGUUGCAUUCAGGAAUUUUCUUUUGGCAUACAACUUUCAAACCACUUGCGUUUGGUACAUUCCAGCUGGUUACUGAAAGCUCUAUGUUUGACAUACUUGCAGAAAAUAACUAAAAGGAGGACAACAUGUGCUCUAUGUCUUUGUUAGCUGAGAUCCUUCAUUGCUACAAUGUGUUCCCCUUUUUUUGUACGUCUUCUGGUUUAUUGUUCUUAACAUAUUAUUGAAGAAUUUUUGGCUUCCUAGUUUUGUAAAACAAAUUUCUUUCCAAACAACUUGUAACAUAUAUAUAUUCAGCUUUUCAAAUUUCCACAAAGAUUUAUACUUUUCCUUGACUAAACCUAACGUGCAGCGCAAGAGGCGAUUUCGUAAGAGUGGAUCUAAUUCAACACUUUCUAUUUUGAGAAAAGAGUUGUGGGAUGGAAAUCUGCAAUCCCUUCUUGGCGGAUCUUCAUGCUUGGUUUCUUCCACUAACACAGAAGCUGAUCCAUUGUUGACUUCAUUUAUAUACAAUGCACCUGUAAAUGAUGAACCAACUAGUCUUCUACCUCAUUCUUCAGAGGAAGCUUGCUCUGUUGAGGAUAACUUGGUUGAAGACUCCUCAGAAAGGUACAAGCAACAAACAAAUUAAUUGUUUUCUGCUCACAUUUUUGUACUAGAAUCAUUAUUGAAACCUUUUUUCAGAUUUGUUGAUCUGAUGCCUGUUCAUGAUAACAGAAAUAUUCAACAGCCUCUGCUCUUCGACAAGGACCAAGAAGAGAAGGCACGGAAAUGUGAAUUUGUCCAAGGGCUGCUGUUGUCAACUUUUCUUGAUGAUAACUUAUAAAUUAUGUCCAAGAGUUGGAUUGUAGUUUCAAGAAAGGGGGAAGGUACGCUGGUGUGUUAUCAAUGGAGUAUCUAGGGGAUAGGAACUCUGUACUCGAAUGUUGUAUUUAAAGCCUAUAUGUGCAUAAUGAAAAGUAGUACGAACUUAUCUUAAUUUGUUUCUUUUUUUCCUUUCCUCUGAAGUUAACAUUUGGCUUGUUUCUUUAUGAAUGCUUGCAAUGCAUUAUUAUUGAACCAUCGGUAUCUGAGGAGCCUUUUACAAGUUGUAGGGCAGGUUGGAUUGUGGUCUUAUAUUUAAUCAUUUAACAGUUGUGCAAAUGAGGCAUAGUGGCAAUGGUAGUACGGAAGGAUGACUGCACAUUUCUUGCAAGGAAAUUGUUAAAUUCACAAUAAAAAUUGUUAUUUUCACAAUAAAAGUGUCGUUAUAGAUUUUAUAAUGACAGUUUUCAUCGUCGUUAUACAUCUACAACGACAUUUUUGUUGUAGAAAUAACAAAAAGGUGUUGUGUAUUUAACAAUUUCCUUCUUGCAACUCUGUUUACGAUGAUCCAAGAAACAAAACAUAGGAGCUCCAAUGAGAACGAACAUAGAAGCUAAAAAACACAGCACACCACGAGGCAAAAGAUUGAAGUUGCUUUACUCCUUAACUUUCCAGUUUGUAAAUGAACUACACGGAUGAAAUGUAAUCAAAUUCGGGCGCAAAUUUUAUUGUUGUAAUAGACUGAACAUUCAACAGAACCCAAUAAAACAGAUGAUCAGCACUAAAAUGAAAGCAUUCUAUUGACCAAAGUAAAAUAUUCUAUCAAUUGCUAAUAGAAGCAUUAACCAGAUAACAAUAUUGCUAAUACAUUAGACCAAACUAAAGCAGGCAUAUACAUAUAAUAUACGUGUACAUGUUUUCGUCAACAUUGGACUAGGGCUUCACGAGAAGACUACUACUUGCGUAGAAAAUCAUCUCAUAGCAUCAAUGGGAAUACUGGUAGGUAUGCAUUCACAUUACAACUCUUUCUUGAUUACCAUGACAUUACUUUCAGCUUCUUUUCCAAUUCAUCUUUCAGAAGACUCUUGAAUAGAGCUUCUGCAGAAACUAAUUUAGGGAGAGGUAAUAAUACCGCAGGCCUAAAUCAUAUACAAGGAUGGAAAAUGCUUGAGUUAAGGAUGCACCCAGGAAAUCAAUAUGAGGAUAUCUUUGAUUCAACACAUGGGACACUUUACUUCUUCGCACUUCUCAAAAAGUUGCCUAAAAGACUCUUCACCUCCAAAAUGAGUUGUGGGACAGGAAGAACCUGUAAUCAGGAUGAUCAACUUGCAAGAGACGCAACCAAUUAUCAGCUGCUCGUAAUAGAGAGUUGACCUUUUGACAUUCAUAUACCCCAGUGGGAUUCCAAUCAGAGACUUUAAACUUGUAUGGAGCAAGCCCAAAGAUCGGCAGUGACAACUUCAAGGAUAUGCCAGCAUUAUGAACCUCUCCAACUGUUGAACCAAGUAGGCGAGGCCAAUCAGUACCUGUAUUUGUGGGAAUGUGGAACUAUAUCAUCAUGACAUAUAGGCAAUCAAAAAUAUACCUCCUAAAUCAGCACGUGCUCGAUAUAUUGUGUGUAAACAGCACAUUCUAUAUAAAUAUAUAUAUAUAUAGAGAGAGAGAGAUGACAUACUCCCGAAUGGCGUAGACAACGAAUGAAAUGUCAAAAAGCAGGCAUCAAUAUUGUUCAGAGUUGUACCCACAGGUAUCCUAUAUAUUGGGUACCUUCAGANNNNNNNNNNNNNNNNNNNNNNNNNNNNNNNNNNNNNNNNNNNNNNNNNNNNNNNNNNNNNNNNNNNNNNNNNNNNNNNNNNNNNNNNNNNNNNNNNNNNCAAUUUAGGCCAGUUAUAAAUAAGAAUAACCUCUAAAUUGUAAUAUGUUAUAUACUUUCCCGUAUUAAGAAAUUAUAUCUCUAUAUAGUAAUAAUUUCAUAUAUAUAUAUGAGAGAGAAAAUAUUAAUUCUAAAAGACUACAUUUUCUAUAAAAGAAUACAUUUCUUAUAAAAAAACUACAUUUUCCAAUAAAAGACUACAUUUCCCAUAAAAGAUUACAUUUUCCUAUAAAAGACUACAUUUCCUAUAAAAGACCACAUUUUCGUAUAAAAGACUACAUUUCUUAUAAAAGACUACAUUUUCCUAGUUUGAAAAUCUAAAUAAUUUAUGUUUUCUUUAAUUUUUGUUAUAAAAUCUAUAUUUUUGUUAAAGUGGAUAUUUUUUGGUGUUCGAAAAAUAUUUUGUACCAAUACCUCUAUUUAGUAAUAACCUCUCAAUUAAAAUACAAAUAGUUUGGUCCCAAGUCUAUUCCUAAAUAGAGGUUUUAUUGUAUAUAAAGUGAGAGAGAGAGAGAGAUGACGUACUCCCGAAUGGUGUAGACAACGAAUGAAAUGUCAAAAAGCAGGCAUCAAUAUUGUUCAGAGUUGUACCCACAGGUAUCCUAUAUAUUGGGUACCUUCAGAAGUGCAUGUAAUGGCCUUUCAGUUCAGAAAAUACAGUUGUACAAAUGCAUCAGACUUGUAGACGUGAAUAAAAACGCUUACCAUGCCACGGAAACCCAACUUGAAGCUGUUAAAUCACAGCUUCUGUAUGUCCUAAGUUCUGGAAAUUGAAAUGCAAGCUUUGAGAUCUGUGGAAAUAAGGAGGUAAAGAUAUGUCAUAACAACGACAAAUCAGUACAAGAUCCACAUGUUAAUCCCCUAGGGAGUUUAGAACAUGCCUUGUCAGCCAAAGGUUCACGACCAAAUGGAAGAUCAUGCGCAAAGUACUCGAAUAUAAGUAGGCCAGGAGGAUUGCUAAUCUCCCUUUCAUCAAUUGCUGACCCGAUUGAGAGAUUGUUUCUCAAUGAGGGUCUACUUUGGCUAGCAGCAUUCUUUGGAUUUUGCAAGUUCCAAACUCCCUGAUAAUCAUUGGCGACUCUCUCGUCCCCACAUCUGCUACACCCAUCGCUACUUGCAUCUUUAGAUGACUCCUCAUCACUGUCAUCACCAGGCUUCCUGUCAGAUAAUAUUAGCUGAUAAUUAGUGGAUCAAGUUUUUAUUUUUUAUUUUUGAUAAGUCAAAUUUUGAAAUUUGCUUAAGGAGAAAGAGCAGGGGGUGUCUUGGUGAAUCUUGGGGACCUAAUAAUCAGAGAUGCUAGAGGAUAUUAAUUAUCUUCAAGCAUCAAUCUAUGGCUUGAGAAACCAUAAUAAGAAAAGCGGGACUACCUGACCCACCACUCAGAAAUAUUUCGUACAGUCCUAUAAAGAAGCCUGAUGGCCCAAGGCAAAAUGAGAUGUGCCAAAUCAUUCAGCAUAAUUAGGGAACAAGUUUCCACAACACCAAAGCUUGGCUCCACUCAAAAGUUGAAUAAAAACUAAUAUUGAACUGUCAGAAAUGAAAGCAUAAAUGUACUACAUUCCUACGGCUGGAAUUAAAAGAAAAUUAUAAUAUACGAGCAAGUCCUUCCUUCACUCUUUUGAAACUGAUGGUUUAGUUAGUUAUUGUAUCAAGUCUUAUUUACUCCAUACAUAUGGCUACAAGUUUUAAUAGAAAAAAUAUGUGGUGAUACAACCACAUGCAAAGUACUUUGACAAAUUAAUUUGUUAACGCAAACAAGAUGUUGAUACCAUCUGAAGCGAGAAAAUAAAAUUCCGUGUAAUGCAAUUUAUGACAACUUAAAAAUUGUCCUCUUCUGUCAGACCCUCAUGCACAUGAAUUGUACAGGACCCUAUAUAUUGACAUUCUGCAGAGGUGAUUGGAGUGUAGAUGGUCCAUUCUGAGAAGCAACAAGGCAAUUUCUUGAAACAAACAGUGAAUCACCUGAAGUAUAAAUAUCACAUAGUGAACUUCCGAUCAAUAAUAAUGAUUCUAGUAAGAGCACCUGCAUUAAACAUGUGCUGGGGUCUGUGUCACCAUACCACCAAAUGAUUUGCUACAAGGAAUCUAGUGUAUAGCACAAUACAAAGGAAGAAGCAUAGACCAGAAUUGUAGGAGCUCAUUUGUUAAAGGCCAUAUUCUCAUACAGAUUCCGGCGGUGGUCAUACUGGCCUUCAGCAUGUUAGAUAUGGUCAUUUAUUCCAAACACUUAUGGUCAUACAAAUUUCAACCGUAAGGCCUAGUUCAAGAAGAUGUAUUUUUAAGGGCUUCACCGACUUCUCUACAUCGCUACAGUUAUCUCGUCCUAUAGUGUUGCACUCAAACAAAAAUGUUUCAGAAUCUCACCGUCUUUUUAAAAAAUUCUGCAAAAGGCCUACAAGUAUCACCCAAUAAGCAAGAACUUUAAAGCUCAUACAUGAAGCCUAAGACUCCGAUGAUACAAACACUAGCUUAAAACUAUAAUAACAGGUCAUAUUUAGUCAUUGAUCAGUUUAUGAUGCCAUAAAACAAGAUUAAUAUCACAUAAUGGCUAACUAUAAUCCUAAGUAAUAUAAGAAACACACAAAUCAAAUCACCCUACAACACUUGAACCAAAAAUUUUAUUGAGUUCGUUAAUAUAGGAAAAUUAAACUUCCACAAGGGAAUUGGAUAUUUCCAUAAUAUCCCCCACAUGAAUAAUAAAUGAGUACAUUCAUGAGAGAGAAGGCCUUGCAAAAAUAUUAAAUUUCCUUAUAAUCCUUACGAAUAGAUUGAUAGCUCAAGAAUUACCAAAAGGAACAUUUUGCCAUCAGAAGAAAUGAGGGAGGGAGGGAAACAGUCCCCAAACAUGUAAAGAGCUCACCUUAUUCUCAUUAAGGGCCUUGAUGGGUCUAUAUAUAGCUGAAUUGCAGACAAGUAUGGCACAUAAUAUUGGACAACAGAGUCACCCCCACUCAACACAAGAGGAACUCCAGCUCCAUAUGCACUCCAUUCCUUCAAAGAUUCCCAAAGAUCAUCUAGGAUAAAGUACGGAUGGAAGCUGUCGUCAUGAAUUCUCAAUCCCUUCAUGCUUGUCUAAAAUCUCCAAAUAGAAGCAAAAUAAAAUCAUAUAUCAAAAUUUGAAAGAUCAUUCAAAACAUAGAAAGCAUACUUGUCACUUUUCUGAAAGCUAGAAUGCAUGGCAUAGAGAACCAAGAACUUUUUGAAACAAAAGGGAAAACAUUUUUUUGGCUAAUCAUAACACAAAUACUCAGCUUUAACAACAGGAUUGAUGACAUAAUUUAGAGAAACGUAACAUUUUCCUUCGAUUCACUACAUGAUUAACUCUGAUUCCCAUUAGAUUCCAUGCUAACACAUAACUAUUGUUGCCAGAAAAAAGGGGCACACAAGAAAAUAUAAUAAUACAAGAUAAAAAGCAGACAACUUGGAAGGAAAAUCCACAAUCUUUGAUACAUUGGCACCAUUGCAGACAAAAUGCAGGUAUUUAAGAUUCCUGUUUAAGAAUAUUCCUAACAAUGAAAAAAAUGUUUAUUCGCCCAGCCUAACAGAAACCACCUCCUUCCCCAUUGAGAAACCUAAACAGAAUAAAGCAAAAUACUCAAAGUUCAUUUUUUACUCCAUUCCCCAACUUUUCCAGCAACCAAAAGAUCAAAAGGAGAUUUAACAAUACACAUACAGACAGAUAAAUAUUUUCCCUAUACCAUCAAUUUUAGUUUCUAACAGUCUAUAAUUAAUCACAUGAUCAAAACAAUAAUUUCUUCUAUGAACAGAAUCUUGCUCAGCAUCGAAAUGAAAAGCAACACUAAAUCUUUGAUUGGUAUAAUAACAAUAAUACCUUAGGAAAAUACUGAGCUUGGACGACUGGAGUGGUGUGCUCCAUGAACCGAUCCAAAUUAGUCAAAUUGCUCAUUUUUGGCGUACAAAAAGAGGAAUUGUUAUUCAUCACUGUGGUCGUAGUUGUCUCGUCUGAUGAACAAAUUCUCUUUUCCGGCAGCUUUUGGGAUUGCUUCCGUUGUUGCAGCUGUUGUCUUCUCAUCGCAGGUGGACAGUAAAACCUGUCAUCGCCGCCCCGAUUCCGAUUCGCCACCGGAGUAGACAUUGGACAGAAUUCAAAAGAGUUAUGACUUUGAAUUGAAAAUUGGGGUUUUGCUUUUUAGGGUUUUUGAGGAGAGGGAAAGUAAAGCCGGAUUUCACCUCUGUUGUUCUGUAUAUUGUAUCUGUGGCAGAAAUUGUAGUGUAGUAGUAGUACUUAUUACUUCUCUUUCAUAAUUAAAAGUAAGUACGUUUUUAUUCUUUUUAAUCCUUUGAAAAAAAGAUACAUUUUGACUAAAAAAUGCCAACUUAUUUGUCAUUAUAAAUUAUAUGAGAUAAUAAAUUUGAAAGAUUAAAUAAAAAAAAAUUAAAAAUAUAUAAAAUGAAUAAAAUAAUACUAGUAAUAUAACUAAAGGGGCAAAAAAGGGAAAAAAAAAAUAGUGUGAGGUAGUUACAUUAAUGAUGCCAACAGCUCAUGAUCACAUUUUACUAUUAAAUUUUUAAUUAAUAUUAAGGAUAUUUCACGUAAUUAUUUUUAAAAUUUUAUAUUUAAUUUUGAAACAGAUUAAUAAUUAGAUAUGAUUUAAUUAAGAGUUUAAGACUGAUUGUCGAUAAAUCUAAAAGAACAAGAAAAUGUUUAAUUUUUGAAGCAGCCCAAAAAUAAGCUAGAAUAUUAUAAAGCAUGAACACACAUACAAUACUAUAAGAAAUUAAUUUUUAUAAUUAAUUAUAUGUAUACAUACAUAUAAUUAUGUACAAAAUAAAGAGAAUUCAUUGUAUUUCUAGUUUUCUACUAAACAAGUAAUUUCACCCAUGAUUAAAAAAUUGCCCAAUCCACUCGCACCCACAUCCAUUCAUUAAUAUAAAAAUUAUAUAAUUGACAUUUAAAAUAAUUCCAUUUUAUUUUAGUCACAAAUAUCACAAACUAUUUAAAAAUAUAUACUACCAAACGAAUUUUUUUUUUUUUGAAGUUUACUAAACGAAACUUGUUUUUAAAAUUAAAUAUUUACAUAAACUUGAUUUUAUAAAAUUUCACGAAUUAACUAAUUAAAGUUCAAAUAGAUCUCCUUCCAUAUAUUACUAUUAGUAGGUACCGAGAGAGUAAUGAACUUAAUAAUUUAUU